GAGAGCUUGCUCUUUUAACUUAGUGGCGGACGGGUGAGUAACGCGUGAGUAACCUGCCUUUCAGAGGGGAAUAACAUUCUGAAAAGAAUGCUAAUACCGCAUGAGAUCGUAGUAUCGCAUGGUACAGCGACCAAAGGAGCAAUCCGCUGGAAGAUGGACUCGCGUCCGAUUAGCUAGUUGGUGAGAUAAAGGCCCACCAAGGCGACGAUCGGUAGCCGGACCGAGAGGUUGAACGGCCACAUUGGGACUGAGACACGGCCCAGACUCCUACGGGAGGCAGCAGUGGGGGAUAUUGCACAAUGGGGGAAACCCUGAUGCAGCAACGCCGCGUGAAGGAAGAAGGUCUUCGGAUUGUAAACUUCUGUCCUCAGGGAAGAUAAUGACGGUACCUGAGGAGGAAGCUCCGGCUAACUACGUGCCAGCAGCCGCGGUAAUACGUAGGGAGCAAGCGUUGUCCGGAUUUACUGGGUGUAAAGGGUGCGUAGGCGGAUCUGCAAGUCAGUAGUGAAAUCCCAGGGCUUAACCCUGGAACUGCUAUUGAAACUGUGGGUCUUGAGUGAGGUAGAGGCAGGCGGAAUUCCCGGUGUAGCGGUGAAAUGCGUAGAGAUCGGGAGGAACACCAGUGGCGAAGGCGGCCUGCUGGGCCUUAACUGACGCUGAGGCACGAAAGCAUGGGUAGCAAACAGGAUUAGAUACCCUGGUAGUCCAUGCCGUAAACGAUGAUUACUAGGUGUGGGUGGUCUGACCCCAUCCGUGCCGGAGUUAACACAAUAAGUAAUCCACCUGGGGAGUACGGCCGCAAGAUUGAAACUCAAAGGAAUUGACGGGGGCCCGCACAAGCAGUGGAGUAUGUGGUUUAAUU
This 862-nucleotide ribosomal RNA is filed under the name uncultured bacterium. RNAcentral's name for it is "bacterial SSU rRNA". It matches the Rfam family "Bacterial small subunit ribosomal RNA", at positions 74 to 951 of the family's 1533-position model. The record is from RNAcentral.